GAGGCAUGGAAGGGUUGAAACUGGCCCAAGAUCACAUCAGGAUUUGGACCUGACUUCCCCCACCGAGUGGGUCUCUGCAAGGCCACCCUGUUCCCCGGGGAGGAGCAGGUGCUGAGCCAGUGCUGGGUGGAGGGUGACCAGCUGGUAGGCCACCCACCUCCUUGGUCUUCCUAUCUGACUGAACCAGCCUGAGUGUGUCCUGUCUUGACACCAGGGGGCAGGGUGAGACAGGAGAAAGGGCAGUGGGCCACACAGCCUGCAGCCUCUCCCUGGGACAGCAGGUCAGCCUGUCCGCACUCUGAUCUCAGGGCUCCUGGAGGAUGUCUGUGUGAGUGGGCCAGUGAGGGGCCAGAAAGUGGCUCCUGUUCUGACGACCUCAGGAUCCCCUGGGCAGGCCGGGAUUGGAGAGAGCAGCAGCCGCUUCUGCAGAAAAGAAAACACCUCAUCCCUCUCGGGGUCACUGGUUCAUGCUGGAGAGAGCUCAGGGAUCCAUCGGGCCAAGUUCACUUACAGGUGAGAAAACUGAGGCCCCGUCCUGGCAUCCCUCUGUUGGUGUGUCAGUCUCCCUGUGUGGGGGCUGCAUCCUUCCCCCUCACCUGGUUGUUCCUUCUGCUUCUGAGUCCAUGGUCUGCAGCUCAGCGGGAGAGUAGGAUCCCACCGGCCAUGUUCAUGCUGCUGUGAUGGGUUUGGGGGAACUGGGGUGGGCCGAUGGGUCCCCAGGAUGGCAGGACAGCCCGUGGGUCUGCUGAUGAUGGGCCCUAAACCAAGGGGAGCACGUGGAGCCCUGUCCGUGGCCCUGCUCUCCCCGGGACAAGCUGCCAGCCCUGCUGCCAGUGAAACACAGACGGGGGCGUGUUUAUCCAGCUGCCUGGCACCGUGUGGAGGAAGCACAGCUCAGCCCACAGCUUUGGGGGACGUCCAGUUGUGGCCCACCUGGUUGGCUGGAGGUAUUCCAAUGCCCUGGGGUGGCAUUUGAGGGCCCUUUGACCAGACUGUCUGUCUGCAGCCUCCUCUCCAGAGGUCGAAGUCUCAUCUUCCUGGCGUGGCCCUGAGAUGAGCUUAUCUCUGUCUAUUUGGCUCUGAGACCACCCUGGGCAGCAGGUCACAUUCAGGAGCACAGCCACACUCUCCAGAGGCCACCCAGUGUUGGCCAGGCGCAGCCGACUGGUUCUCUGCGGUUCACAUCUGAGACUCUUCCCCCAGCUCUAUGGGUUGGACCCCCACCGGGCUGAGGAGGAGCCCUCGGCACUGAGGCUGCGACUCAGAGGCAGAUGUGGGGAUCAGAGCAGCCUCCUCAGCUCUUCCCCUGGCUGGGGUGAUUUCUCUCCCCAUCUUGGACUCUCCUCCUGCUAUCGCCCAAUCCAGCAGGGUGCACCUUUGCAGUGACUGGCCUCAGGUGGCUGUGGCUUGGGCUUCUACUAUAGACCGGGUCAGGGCUCAGUGACCCUAACGAGGGGCUUUUCUGUGGGUGGGCAGAGCUGCCAGGGGGUUAUGGGGAACAGUGAGGGGUCGCCCCUGUCUCUUCGGAGUUUGACACAUCUCUUCUUUGGCCCUAAUUGUACUGAUGGAGACUGACUUCCGACCUCUGACUUUUCAGCUCUGAGGCUUAGCUCAGCUGGUACCUUUAAGUGACACAGCCAUUUGGCUCCUGGGGCUAGACCACUGAGCCGGUGUGGGUGGAGGGAGUUGCCUGCACUUUCUGAUUUCUCAGGAAUCGGCUGACCUCGGCAUGAUGGUUGCAGCUCCCUGGGCUCUCCUGGUGACCUGGGGGACACCUCCUCCUGCUGUCCAGGCAGGCCAAGCCCAGCUUCUGCAGGUUACCUUCUCUCUUCUUACAUUUGGACUUCUAAAAGCAUUUGAAAGAUGUCACAAUGGUAAUGCUUCUUCCUUUGUUCAACUGUGUCAAUGUCUAGUUUGUAGAAAGAAGUCCCACGGUUACUGUUUGGGGCCAAUCUGAGCAGGCCCGGGUGGGAAGAUGAAAUGUUCAUUAUCUGUCCCUCGGGCAGGUUUUUUCUGAGCAUCUGUUACAUGUCCACCAUUGACGUGGAUGCUGAGUGGCCAUAGCUGGGGACAAAACUGUCCCAGCUACCUGCGCUUGGGGGUCACAGUCUAAUGGGGGAGGUGAAAAUAAGCAAUAAACACACAACUCUGAGGGUCACACACGUUGGUGGACUGUGACAACGGUGAGUGGUGGGGACGUCUGAAGACAGAGCGACCCAUGGGAGCAAAGCCAGUUGGAGUGUGAGGCCAAGCCUGGCAGAGCCAGGAGAACAGCGCAGACCCGUGGCUCUCGUGAGCUGCCAAGCUGCCUCUGACUCCUGAUCGCUGCCACCCUGUUGGGGAGAGAAGGGGAGACAAUGGCAGCCAUACUCCCCUGCCCGUCCUGACCCGGGACAGCAGCCUGAUUCCCGAGUGGCAAGAGGUUGGUAAGGAAGGAACAGGUGAGAACUGACUCAAGACCAAACGUGCCCAGACGCGUGGGCCAGCUGCAUCGUGGAGUCUGUGCCAGGGUGCCUAUAGACGAGAGUGAUGUGAACGGGCAGACUUUAUGGGAGGCAGAUGGGUCAGGUCCAUAUGGGUGACGGCCUUAGGAGAACCAAUCACUGACCUGAGCAGGAGUCCCUGCAGAGCCUGGGCCUGCCGCCCGCCUCCGUCACAUGAGCCGGCUCCUCACGAUAAAUCUCUCUGUAGGUACCAGCAGCCCCCAGCUUGCAGGAUGGGUCGCCCUAUAAUCUUUUGACUUUACGAUGGUGGUUUCAGCUGUGCUCAUUAGUGGAUGACAGAGGUGCUUCUGCUCCUGGGGAAUGAAAGGCGAUCUUUGGAGGCGCCUUGCUGACGUUCUUGGAGCAGACGUCCAAGGAAACUCUGCAGCUGAUAAUUGCAGGUCAAAUUCUCAUCCCAAACCACCUGUUGCAAACAGCCCUGAAGGUGAGAGUGCUGGCAGGUUGUGACCAGAGAGGGGAGGCCAAGAUCCCUUCUGAAGGGUGGUCAAUGGCACAGGGGAGUUAUCUCUAGGGUCACAGCCCUGGGCUUGACAAAGAGGCAGCAGAGGGUUCCUUGCCCUCCACAGGAUGCCCCACUGCCCCCUCUCUCCUCUGCCCCUAGUCAGGGGGUUCGCCAGCUGCAAAGGACCCUCCUGGAGUGUUAUUUGUGGCUUUGCUGCCCAUGUGUGUCCCCUACUUGGUUUGGGGAAGGUGGAGGAGUAACUCCUGCCAUCUAAUCCCAGCCUACGGCAUCAGCUGCUUUGGCAGGGACGAUCUCUUCCCUUUUCUGAAUAGGGAUGAAAGUCAUCUGUACCUGGACCCCUUUCAUGCUCAAGAACAGCAGUGGCAGGUGGUGGCACUCCUCCCUGCUCAAGUAGAUAACCCUCUGGGUGGCACGGAUGGGACAGGGGUUGGGCUUAUCUUGACACCGCCAUAUUCUCUCUGGCCACUUUACCUGGUGACUGAGGCAAAUGUCAGGGGAGCGGGUAGCUGGCUGGGACGCCAGGGAGGAGAGCGUGAGUGACCUAGGAGCUGCGCGCCUACUCACACUUCACAGGUGUUUUGAUCAACAGGUAGAACCUUGGAGAAAGAUCUAAAUGCAGGCUGCCUUCUCUGUGCCACAGAAGGGCUGGCAUCAGCUCCAGGGAGCCCUGGAGAAAGAGAGAAAGACCGCCCGGCUGCCCAGUCCUGGUGGCACUUUGAGGGUGUAGAAACUCACUCUGGGUCUCUUCCCGGCCUGCUGCCCUGGGUGUCCUGGUUUCUGCGUCCUCACCCUGUGAACACAGCUGGGCCGGGUGAACCCUGCAUGUCUGAGGGUGAGGUUCCUAUGUGGGACGCUUACCUCUGCCACCUAUUCCUUGGCUGCCAACCCCACCCUAGUCCUGCAUGUUUGAGGGCAGCACAGGGCAGGGAGAUGGCAGCCAGCUCCCACCCGUGCUUUAGGGGGACAGAAGGUCUCCACUGUCUCCAUCAAGCUUCUCAACAAGUCCCAGCCUCUGACAGGGAGGUGAUGGGCUAGAAUGGGGCCCCAGGGAACUUUCUGGGGAUAGAAAUCCCUUCUGUGCCCCUUCUUUUGGGUAGUGAUUACAUGGGUGUUUAUGUGGCCAGAAAGCAUUAAGACAAGCACUUCACAACGGUGCACUUUUGCUAUGUAAGUCACACAUGGGUUAAAAAAUGCAUGACAGCACCAGGAAGCAGGCAGCUCUUUUUGCUAUUUCUCAUGUGUGAGAGGAGGACUGUUGGGAGGAUGAGACAGGCUCAUAGGCGGGCCUGGGAUGUGCAGACCCCUCGAGGAGACAGCUGUCAGUAGCACAGCCGUGUCUAAUGACCCUGGUGUUUCUCUGUGUCCUGUGGCAGAAUCCACUGUACAGUCAGCACAAGUGGACAGUGUCCGUGGGCUCAAUGGCCAUCAUUCUGGGUCAUCCUUUUUUUCACCUGCGUAUAGCUCUUGCUGGAACACAGGCAGUCUCUGAGUUACUAACAUCUGACUUAUGUACAACUCACACUUCCAAACGGGGGCUGAGACGGGGAUAGGUAAGUGUACCUUUUCCAACUUACAUACAAAUUCAACUUACGAACACACUUAUGGAUCCUAUCUUGUUCAUGACCCAGGGACUACCUGUACUGUGGUCAUUUGCAUGGUGUGGGGAGACAGAUUGUCAUGGGUCACCCACCCCACCAGGGCAGGGACAAAGUCUGUUUUCCUCGUCACUGUGUUCAGCAUCCAGCAUGGGGCUCAGCACGUGGAACUCCUGGUAAACACCUGUGAAAUGAUACCAGGCUGAUGGGGAAGGGGAGUAUAAAUUUAGUAGUAAUUAGAGUACCUCACUUUUCAGACCUUUUCAUUGUGAAAUAAAGCACAUGUACAGAGAACCACACCAAACACAUUUAGCUUAAUGGGUGACUGCAAGGCAAAUAUCCCUGAGAGCCGGCCACAUGGAGAAACGGUGCUCGGCCUCCUACCCACCCAUAUACUUUGGUGCAUAACCCGGGCCACAUGCUCUGCGCUGUGCUGACUGCAGCCUCCUGGAGCCGCUGUUUAUGUUCCUCUGUCCUUGGUACUUCCUGGCAAGGGACAGCCGAAACCCAAGGCUCCAUCAACUCUUGACAAGACUGUGCUGGGCUGUGUUCCUUCUUCAGCAAGUGACCAAUGCCUGGUUUCCCUCUGUUUUGAUAUUAGCAGCUGCGGUGAGUAGAAAUGUGUCUCCUGAAAAGAUAUGUUCAAGUCCGAACUGCGGGAUCCUGUGAGUGGGGUUAUUUGGAAACAGGCGCUUUGUAGAUGUCAUCGAGUUAAGAUGAGAUCAUACUUGAUUAGGGAAGGCCUUGAUCUAAUAACUGGUGUCCUCAUGAGAAAGGAAUAUGGGGACACAGACACGUGGAGAGUCCUGGUGAAGACCCAGAGACACACGUGGGACGGGCUGGGGUACCACAGGCCUAGGACAGCCAAGGGUUGUGGACAAGCUCUGGAGGCACCAACCCCGCUGACUCCUAGGUUUGUCUUCUGGCCUCUAGGACCGUGAGAGGAUAAAUUUCUGUAUUUUAAGCCCCUCAGUCUCCGGUGCCUUGUCACAGCAGCCCUGCGAAGCCACCGAAGCAGCCCAGGGGUGUUAAUUCACCAGGCUUUGUAAAACAGUGGCGUCCUGGUUCUGCUGCUCCGUCCCCAUCUCUCAGCCAGAAUAAUGUACCUGGAGACACCCCUUCUCAUCCUCCGCCUCCCCACGGCAACAUAUUUAAGCUUUAUCGAGAACUCGCCCUGUACAGCCAAUUCCAGGCCUCUGCACUUUCUAAUCUCAAGUCUCUGCAGGGUUCCCUGUUCUGAGAGAAAGCACUGCCCCAUGGCUCCAGUCGAACCCCACCCUGCCCUGCCUCAAAGGGGAUUUGGAUCAAUCCACGGCCCAGUCUCUUAUGAGCCAAGUCAUGACAAAGUCAGUGCCCGCCAUGAGGCAUCCAGACUG
Molecule: long non-coding RNA, 5938 nt
Organism: Nycticebus coucang (slow loris)
Lineage: Eukaryota; Metazoa; Chordata; Mammalia; Primates; Lorisidae
Exons: 3
Source: RefSeq, a predicted model, not a curated record